RNA transcript from Dreissena polymorpha, 2470 nucleotides. It is a transcript of the gene named coadhesin-like, with no coding region annotated. The record is from RefSeq and is a predicted model, not a curated record. Lineage: Eukaryota; Metazoa; Mollusca; Bivalvia; Myida; Dreissenidae. The transcript has 9 exons.
ACGGACUUGGUUGAAAACAUGGGAACGAUAUUGAUAAUAAUUUUAACAAUAGCUUUGCUCCAGUCAGAGGUUCAGUCUAAAGUUGAUGGCAAUUGGACGGAUUGGUCAACUUGGUCAGCGUGUGCCAUCACAUGUGGGAACACCACGCAAACAAGAAGUAGAGCAUGUACUAACCCUCCAGCUGCCGACAACGGGACGGACUGUGAAGGGACUUCAGAUGAUUACCAGCCAUGCCUUAGAGAACCUUGUCCGGUUGACGGCAACUGGACUGAUUGGUCAAGCUGGUCAGCUUGUUCUGUAACACGUGGAAGCGCAACAAAAACUAGAAUAAGAACUUGUAUCAGCCCUCCACCUGCACACAAGGGCACAGAGUGUGAAGGUGCAUCGGAGGAUUAUAAGUCCUGCGUACAUAAACCCUGUCGAGGCUGGGGACCAUGGAGUGAAUGGAGUUCAUGUUCGUCAACUAGUGGUGUAGGAAUACAACAUCGAAACAGGUCUUGGUAUUCUUGGCCCAGCUUCACAAGUAUAGAUGAUUUAUGUGAUGGCGAUUAUACAGACGUACAGAUAUGUAUGCCAAGCGCAUUCGAUGGUGGAUGGACUCAGUGGUCAUCAUGGAGCACGUGCUCAGUCACGUGCGGUAUUGGACUUAACCAGCGAACACGUUCUUGCACAAAUCCUAGACCUUCCACAUUUGGUCAUCAUUGUGAAGGACCAAAUAUUGAUGUUGCUAUAUGCAACAAGCAACACUGUCCUACCUCAGUCCGUUUGAGGGAUGGUCUUUUGGAGAUUUACGUAAAUGGUCAAUGGGGAACCGUGUGUGAUGAUGAGUUUGACUCCAACGAUGCAAAAGUGGCUUGCAGAAUGCUUGGUUUCGAUAAUACUCAAACAGCCAGAUUAAGAUCGGAUGUGGUUAGAGGAAACGUGUCAAUGCCGAUCUGGUUGGAUGAUCUUCGUUGUAACGGCAAUGAAGAUUCCUUGCUGGAGUGUUCCCAUAAUGGGGUGGGUACCCAUAAUUGCAACCACAGCAAAGACGUUGGCUUGGUCUGCUGAGGGCCCAUAUUUGAAUAAUGCUUCAUUAUGAACACUACCACAUGUUGACAGAACAGUAGUCAUAUAAAGAUGAAAUUAAACAGUUCGUGAAAGGAAACGAUUUACACAUGACACUUGCUUCGAGAGGAAUUCACUUUAAUAUAUUUGUAUCGUCAUGUACGUUCAACAACAAAGGUCAAUAACUCUGAAAUGCAAUUGAGAAGACUUAUACCCCGUAUUGUUCUUGAAGUGCUUAGGGUCUUCGGUUGAGUCAUUGCGCCUAGUUUUUGCCUUCUUUAUUUUAACGUAUUUAUCUGGUGAAUAUUAAAUCUGUUCAUUGGUGCCUGCUGUAAUCACAGUGCUCACUAAUCAGCGGUGACUUAAAUACAGAUGCAAAGAAAUCUGUGCAAUAAAUAACUUACAAAUCAGCUGAGAGAAUAGUCUGAAGAUAAUUUAUUUUAUGGUGCAGUCAUACAUUGAUUGGACUUUCACAUGGAAUGGCCCUUCAUUACUCAAACGACAAGAAGUUUAUUUUAAAUCGCGCACCAUUAGUCAAGUAUUCCUGUAAAGAAUGUUUAUUGAUUCCUUAGAAAGAAGUCUUAACUCUAAAGGAAGAUUUGAGUAGACCAUAGGAGGAAGAUUAAUGUAUUCCUUAGGAAUAACAAGUGAAAUUUGAAAUGAAACAUGUUUUAAUUAUUUAAUGAUUUUCACAUUAUUCUAUAGUAAGAAUUCAAGCCUAUCAAUUCAUCAUUCCUCAGCCUAUAAUGAAUUCAUUCCAUCUAAUCAAAACACAUGUAACAAAUAAAUGGACAACACGCAGGCUUUUUUUAGAAAGGAACUCUGUUUCAAUAUUAUUUGGAUAAACACACACACACUCUUAAUUGAUUGAAAACGUAAGUUUACUGAAGGUCCAUUAUUAUAUGUUUUUGUAUGCAGAGUGAACAUUGUGAGAAUUCGAAUUACAAACGAAAACAUCUAUAGUGGGGGGGGGGGGGGGGAAUUAAAGUAGAAAUAUUGAUUGAGCAUGAAUGUAUAUGAGCCUGUAUAUAUAAACAUCAUAUGCCUUUUUGCUGCCUUCUGCCAUUAAGUUUUGGUGUGUUGGCUAAGUUGCAAAAUUGGCGUCAAAUAUCAGAGUUGUUUUCAUAAAUGUAUUAGUUUUAAGCAUAAUGCAGGUUUAAUCUAAAAAGAACAUCUCAGUCACUUUCUGUAUGUUUAAUGGCAUUUUUAAAUGGAGAACAUAAUAAAAUAACAGUUUGGGAACAUAUUUUACACUUACAGCAUAUAAGACCAAUAUGUAACAUAGUAACCAUGAAAAACUUGAGUAUAUGUCUGAAUCUAUAUUUAUGAAUACUCGGGAUAAUUCAAUAUUAUGUUUGUUUUCUACAUAUCUUGUAUUUUAGAUGAAAAAAGUCAUUGCAUGAAGAUUAAGUGCUCAGGGAAC